AGCAUGCUGUGUGCUGCUCAGUCAGGAUGAUCAGUCAGGGAGGGCUUCUGAAAGUUGAUGAUUCUUAAGUUACUGUGUUAUGGAAAACAGAAGUGGGAGUGUAGGAAGAAUUUGGUGAGGGAGGACUUUCCUGCCAGGAGCAACAGCUGAUACAGUGUCUUAGAGACAUAGGCAAAGAAGGUUUGUUCAAGGGAACUCCAAAUGAUUCAUAUGGCUAGAAAAAGAUAGGAUGGAGAAAUAAAUGGGGAGCAGUGAAAGGAUGGAAGCAAAGAUUACACAAAGAUCUGAAGACUGAGUAGGAGUCCCUUAGAGGAAAAGGGUGUGGAAAAUGUACCCUGGGGAGAGAAAACAACAUAUGCCCAACCCCGGAGGCGAGGGGGACACAGAGAGCUAGGAUUAAAGCUAAAUCCUCUAAGUCUCCAAAUCCCAGGCUCUUUCUACCACCUGACAGUGUCUACUAAUAACAAUAUGCAAUCUCGAGGAUCAAGGACUUGUGAUUUCCACAUGAACCAGGUUAACAAUAACAGAGCUGGAGUAAGCACAUUCAAGUGAAUUGAGAUGGACUGGAACUCCUUCACUUGUUUAAAGUGAGUUUGUAGUCUUUUUGGACUGUUUGGUCUUGGAAUAAAAGGCUGGAUUUACUCUUGGGGAGCAGCUAAUAAUAUUCUGUGGCUGGAGAAAUUAGGUGGAUAUCAAAAUGGAAGACCCUUUACUGAAAAAAAGAACCUGGUUAAAAAAAGCAUUAGUACUUCUCCUAUUUUCAAUCCAGCACCCUUAGUUCAGACAAUUUUUUUUAGACAUUCCAGUUCAGCACAGUAUCUUUUCAUCCAGUUCUUAUCACUAUCCAGUAGGAGAAGAAAGAAGAAAAGAUUAAUAAACAAAUAAUGCAUAUGUGGCACAUAUUCUCUCUCACCCAUUUUAUCAGCCUUAAAUAAUUUAGGGCAGGAAAACUUUCAUAGGAUUUUCUAAUUCACAAAUGCUCUAAAACACACACCUCAAGAAUGUGCUAGAUUUGCUGUGCAGUCUCUUGCCCCUAUGAUGUAUAAUUUAAAUGAGGACUGUACUUGGUAAGGGAGUAGAGUGAAUGCGCUAUAAGCCAGCUAUUGAUACUUCCCAAAUAGCCACUCUCUGCUUAUUAAAAGAUGAUGAGGCAAACCAGUAUCUUAUAGGAGCCAGAUCUGGUGGGAAAGUAAAUUGAUUCUCUUCCUUCACUUGGAUGGAAGCAAAGGAGUUCUCUUGCAUUCAUCCGAGAAAUAAGACUUUCUUAAUACAAAGAGGAUAUUCUAAUUCAAAACUUUAAAACAAAUAAGAUAGAAAAAUGAGCAUUGAACAAAUAAAACAACUCUUGAAAUCUGGUGUAGCCCAAAUGGCACUGCACUUAGGCCCCAAAAUCUAUCCCAGAUAUGUCACUUACUAGCUUUGUGUCCUUUGGCAAUGUAAUCACGUUAAGCCUCAAACUGUACAAUCCUAACACAGAAUGGGAGGUGCAUCCAAACUCUACCUCCAUUACUAUUUUGUUAGGAGGAUAAAAUGAGAUAAUGCACAUGAAAUCACUCUGUAAAGCCUUGAGCACUGUGCUGAUGUAAGACAUUAUUUUUGUACUGAUACCUAUUAUGAGAAAAAUAAAAGAUUAAUUCAAGAUUA
This is a long non-coding RNA of Neofelis nebulosa (Clouded leopard), 1644 nucleotides long. RefSeq lists it as uncharacterized. The transcript is spliced from 4 exons. NCBI's taxonomy places the organism in Eukaryota, Metazoa, Chordata, Mammalia, Carnivora, Felidae. The record is from RefSeq and is a predicted model, not a curated record.